Molecule: ribosomal RNA, 443 nt
Filed under: uncultured bacterium
Lineage: Bacteria
Description: partial 16S ribosomal RNA
Rfam family: Bacterial small subunit ribosomal RNA
Source: RNAcentral
CCUACGGGAGGCAGCAGUGGGGAAUAUUGGGCAAUGGGCGCAAGCCUGACCCAGCAAAGCCGCGUGAAGGAAGAAGGCUUUCGGGUUGUAAACUCCUUUUCUCAGGGACGAAGCAAGUGACGGUACCUGAGGAAUAAGCCACGGCUAAAUACGUGCCAGCAGACGCGGUAAUACGUAGGUGGCAAGCGUUAUCCGGAUUUACUGGGUGUAAAGGGGGUGUAGGCGGGAAAGCAAGUCAGAUGUGAAAACCAUGGGCUCAACCUGUGGCCUGCAUUUGAAACUGUUUUUCUUGUGUACUGGAGAGGCAGACGGAAUUCCUAGUGUAGCGGUGAAAUGCGUAGAUAUUAGGAGGAACACCAGUGGCGAAGGCGGUCUGCUGGACAGCAACUGACGCUGAGGCGCGAAAGCGUGGGGAGCAAACAGGAUUAGAUACCCUUGUAGUC